UGGCUCUGGGUGGGGUGGCGGCCAUUUUUAUCUAACCCUAACUGAGAAGGGCGUAGGCGCCGUGCUUUUGCUCCCCGCGCGCUGUUUUUUUCGCUGACUUUCAGCGGGCGGAAAAGCCUUGGCCUACCGCCGUCCACAGUCCAGUCUGGAGGAAACAAAAAAUGUCAGCCGCUGGCCCGUUCACCCCUCCCGGGAACCUGCGGUGGUCCGCCCGCCCGCCCCCCGAGCCCUGCCUAAAGGCCGCGGUCGGCCUGGGGCUUCUCCGGAGGUACCCAAUGCCGCCGCGAAGAGUUGGGCUCUGUCAGCCGCGGGUCUCUCGGGGGCCAAGGGCGAGGCUUAGGCCUGCUGGCCACAGGGAAAGUAACGGAGUGGGUCCCCGUACGCGGUGCGCUUCCCUGAGCAGUGGGACUUGCACCCGGGACUCGGCUCAGACAUAC
This 437-nucleotide telomerase RNA is filed under the name Propithecus coquereli (Coquerel's sifaka). Its description in RNAcentral is "Vertebrate telomerase RNA (ENSPCOG00000006658.1)". It matches the Rfam family "Vertebrate telomerase RNA". From Rfam's summary of the family: Telomerase is a ribonucleoprotein reverse transcriptase that synthesises telomeric DNA. The record is from Rfam by way of RNAcentral. Lineage: Eukaryota; Metazoa; Chordata; Mammalia; Primates; Indriidae.